Molecule: ribosomal RNA, 305 nt
Filed under: uncultured bacterium
Lineage: Bacteria
Description: bacterial SSU rRNA
Rfam family: Bacterial small subunit ribosomal RNA
Source: RNAcentral
UCCUACGGGGGGCAGCAGUAGGGAAUCUUCCACAAUGGGCGAAAGCCUGAUGGAGCAACGCCGCGUGGGUGAAGAAGGUCUUCGGAUCGUAAAACCCUGUUGUUAGAGAAGAAAGUGCGUGAGAGUAACUGUUCACGUUUCGACGGUAUCUAACCAGAGAGCCACGGCUAACUACGUGCCAGCAGCCGCGGUAAUACGUAGGUGGCAAGCGUUAUCCGGAUUUAUUGGGCGUAAAGGGAACGCAGGCGGUCUUUUAAGUCUGAUGUGAAAGCCUUCGGCUUAACCGGCGUAGUGCAUUGGAAACU